ACUCCUGCGGGAGGCAGCAGUGGGGAAUUUUGGACAAUGGGCGAAAGCCUGAUCCAGCAAUGCCGCGUGAGUGAAGAAGGCCUUCGGGUUGUAAAGCUCUUUUGUCAGGGAAGAAACGGUGAAAGCUAAUAUCUUUUGCUAAUGACGGUACCUGAAGAAUAAGCACCGGCUAACUACGUGCCAGCAGCCGCGGUAAUACGUAGGGUGCAAGCGUUAAUCGGAAUUACUGGGCGUAAAGCGUGCGCAGGCGGUUUUGUAAGUCUGAUGUGAAAUCCCCGGGCUCAACCUGGGAAUUGCAUUGGAGACUGCAAGGCUAGAAUCUGGCAGAGGGGGGUAGAAUUCCACGUGUAGCAGUGAAAUGCGUAGAUAUGUGGAGGAACACCGAUGGCGAAGGCAGCCCCCUGGGUCAAGAUUGACGCUCAUGCACGAAAGCGUGGGGAGCAAACAGGAUUAGAAACCCUAGUAGUCCCAU
RNAcentral lists this ribosomal RNA (472 nucleotides) under uncultured organism. RNAcentral describes it as "partial 16S ribosomal RNA". It matches the Rfam family "Bacterial small subunit ribosomal RNA", at positions 335 to 798 of the family's 1533-position model. The record is from RNAcentral.